GAGAGUUAAACAGUACGUGAAAUUGUUGAAAGGGAAACGAUUGAAGUCAGUCGUGCCGGCGCGAAAUCAGCUUGACCGGUAGGAGGUCACAGGCUGUGGCGAGCCUCAAAACCGCCACGACUUGUGCUCUUCUGCCGGCCUCGUGCACUUUCGUGUCGGCUGGUUAACAUCAAUUUCGAUCGUCAUAAAAAGGCUGGAGGGAUGUGGCUCCUUCGGGAGUGUUAUAACCUUUAGCGGAAUGUGGUGGUCGGGAUUGAGGCUUGCAACGAAUACCUUCAGGGCUGUUCCACCUGGCCUCUCAUCGGAAUUCUGGCGGCGACAGCUUGCUGACGUUGUUAGGAUCGGCCUUCGAACAGGCUAGAGUGUGAGCAAAUUCGUUAAGGAUGUUAACGUAAUGGCUUUAAACGA
RNAcentral lists this ribosomal RNA (408 nucleotides) under uncultured Entrophospora. RNAcentral describes it as "uncultured Claroideoglomus partial 28S ribosomal RNA". Lineage: Eukaryota; Fungi; Glomeromycota; Glomeromycetes; Entrophosporales; Entrophosporaceae. The record is from RNAcentral.